UAAGCCUACGGGGCGCAGCAGUGAGGAAUAUUGGUCAAUGGGCGCGAGCCUGAACCAGCCAAGUCGCGUGAGGGAUGACGGCCCUACGGGUCGUAAACCUCUUUUGCCGGGGAGCAAGGGCGGGGACGUGUCCCGGCCCGGAGAGUACCCGGAGAAAAAGCAUCGGCUAACUCCGUGCCAGCAGCCGCGGUAAUACGGAGGAUGCGAGCGUUAUCCGGAUUUAUUGGGUUUAAAGGGUGCGUAGGCGGGCUUUUAAGUCAGCGGUAAAAAUUCGGGGCUCAACCCCGUCCGGCCGUCGAAACUGG
Molecule: ribosomal RNA, 305 nt
Filed under: uncultured bacterium
Lineage: Bacteria
Description: bacterial SSU rRNA
Rfam family: Bacterial small subunit ribosomal RNA
Source: RNAcentral